Molecule: long non-coding RNA, 711 nt
Organism: Cervus elaphus (red deer)
Lineage: Eukaryota; Metazoa; Chordata; Mammalia; Artiodactyla; Cervidae
Exons: 4
Source: RefSeq, a predicted model, not a curated record
AGAGCAUGAGACUCUUAAUCUCAGGGUCGUGGGUUCGAGCCCCACGCUGGGCGCAGCUUUUGUUAAGCUGGUAAGGGAGUUCAGAUUCUUCCCUGUGGAGCAAGCAUUCACAGAAUCCUAGCCACACCCAUCUACAGAGGGGGCUACUGGUAAAGAGUCCGCCUGCCAAUGCAGGAGACGUAGAGACGCAGUCUCGAUCCUUGUGUCAGGAAGAUCCUCUGCCGGGAGAAUCCCAUGGACAAAGGAGCCUGGCGGGCUACAUCCCAUAGGGUUGCAGAGUCAGAUACAACUGAGACGAUUUAGCACGCACACACAGGUUUCCCAGGUUGUGGUUAUUUGUUCGGGCAGCCACAGCUGAAGGACCACAGAGAGACCCACAGAGGGGUGCCGGGGUUCAGCCUCGGCAGGAUCCAGGGGUACCCUCAGGAUGAACGGCGUCGGCGAGAGAAGACGCGUGAGACCAGCCUUUGUGAAGCCAAGUCUAUCUUUUACUUUUUGACAACAGUUUAUAUACCCUCACUCAGAAUGUAUCCAAGGAUCUCCGCUGCCGGUUGUUUCAGAGUCUGCUGGACUUCCCAGGGGGACCCGCGACAUCCUAGUGGGGUCCUAGCCGUUCCGAGACUGAACAAUUGGGGUCUUACCUUCGGGUCCCUGUUCGUGGCACCACUUGCCGGGGUCCAGCCUCGGUAGGAUCCAGGGGUACCCUCAGGA